UGUAAGCGUAUACCAAAGUUGUUGCAGUUAAAACGCUCAUAGUCGGAAUUUGGCAGUUCCGGAUGUGUGCACGUCGUGUGCGCACUUCGCGGGGAUUGCUUUUGUGGUCUUGCGUAGGAUGAGGCACUUUUAUUAGUGAACGUCCUCACGCAACCACUUUUUACUGUGAGAAAAUCAGAGUGCUCAAAGCAGGCAUUUGCCGUGAAUGUAUUAGCAUGGAAUAAUAGAAUAGGACUUGGUUCUAUUUUGUUGGUUUGUUGGGACUGAGUAAUGAUUAAGAGGGACAGUUGGGGGCAUUUGUAUUUCGGUGCUAGAGGUGAAAUUCUUAGAUUACCGAAAGACAAACUGCUGCGAAAGCGUCUGCCAAGGAUGUUUUCAUUGA
Molecule: ribosomal RNA, 382 nt
Filed under: uncultured eukaryote
Lineage: Eukaryota
Description: partial 18S ribosomal RNA
Rfam family: Eukaryotic small subunit ribosomal RNA
Source: RNAcentral